GAUGAACGCUGGCGGCGUGCCUAAUACAUGCAAGUCGAGCGAACAGAUGAGAAGCUUGCUUCUCUGAUGUUAGCGGCGGACGGGUGAGUAACACGUGGGUAACCUACCUAUAAGACUGGGAUAACUCCGGGAAACCGGGGCUAAUACCGGAUAAUAUUUUGAACCGCAUGGUUCAAUAGUGAAAGACGGUUUCGGCUGUCACUUAUAGAUGGACCCGCGCCGUAUUAGCUAGUUGGUAAGGUAACGGCUUACCAAGGCGACGAUACGUAGCCGGCCUGAGAGGGUGAUCGGCCACACUGGAACUGAGACACGGGCCAGACUCCUACGGGAGGCAGCAGUAGGGAAUCUUCCGCAAUGGGCGAAAGCCUGACGGAGCAACGCCGCGGGAGUGAUGAAGGUCUUCGGAUCGUAAAACGCUGUUGUUAGGGAAGAACAAAUUUGUUAGUAUCUGGACAAGUCUUGACGGUACCUAACCAGAAAGCCACGGCUAACUACGUGCCAGCCGCCGCAGUAA
RNAcentral lists this ribosomal RNA (514 nucleotides) under uncultured bacterium. RNAcentral's name for it is "partial 16S ribosomal RNA". It matches the Rfam family "Bacterial small subunit ribosomal RNA", at positions 28 to 523 of the family's 1533-position model. The record is from RNAcentral.